This 24-nucleotide non-coding RNA is filed under the name Cricetulus griseus (Chinese hamster). Lineage: Eukaryota; Metazoa; Chordata; Mammalia; Rodentia; Cricetidae. The record is from RNAcentral.
CAAUUGAGUAGUGGUGAGAACUGG